UCCGAGUUGACCCCGGCAGUCUCGCUAGAGUCCCCGGCAUAACCCGCUGGUAACUAGUGAUAGGGGUUGCGUUCGUUGCGGGACUUAACCCAACAUCUCACGACACGAACUGACGACAGCCAUGCAGCACCUCGCGACCAGCCCGAAGGAGACCCCCUUUCAGGGGUUGUCCGGCCGCGUUCGAGCCUGGGUAAGGUUCUUCGCGUUGCAUCGAAUUAAUCCACAUGCUCCACCGCUUGUGCGGGCCCCCGUCAAUUCCUUUGAGUUUCAACCUUGCGAUCGUACUCCCCAGGUGGGACGCUUAACGCGUUAGCUUAGACACUGCACCUGAAGCGGUGCAACAUCGAGCGUCCAUCGUUUACGGCGCGGACUAC
RNAcentral lists this unclassified non-coding RNA (374 nucleotides) under uncultured Bacteroidota bacterium. RNAcentral describes it as "uncultured Bacteroidetes bacterium contains 16S-23S intergenic spacer region". Lineage: Bacteria; Pseudomonadati; Bacteroidota. The record is from RNAcentral.